RNAcentral lists this ribosomal RNA (1674 nucleotides) under Triticum aestivum (bread wheat). Its description in RNAcentral is "partial small subunit ribosomal RNA". The record is from RNAcentral. Lineage: Eukaryota; Viridiplantae; Streptophyta; Magnoliopsida; Poales; Poaceae.
GCGAAAGCAAAAGGCUUUGGUGCGACGGGAAGAAGCUCAAACAGUGAUGAUAAUGGACAGCUGUAUCUUACACUUUUGUACUCUCGGUAUGGCAAGACUUAAUGCAGCUCAGGAAAUAUGUUGAAGCCAAAUCCAACCGAGUUAGGAGGUGAAUCUAAAAUUAAUAUUACUCAUGGUCCCGAUGGGGUUCAUCUUUCGACGGUCGUUUUAGAUCACGAUCAUACAUUAAAUCUGUAUAAGUUUUGGUUAUUCAGAUGCAACAAGAAGUUAGACUUUCAUGUCAAGCGAAGGCUUGAGCUGGCUGAUUGGGCUGGAAUAUAAGUAAACUCGAUUUUCAAUUUUUUUGUUGUACAAGCAGAUGGUCAUGCGAACCUAUCUUUUGCUGAGAAAAAUUGUCACAACUUUCUAGAGACAAGAAGGUUGAAACUUGGCAGAGGUAAUGCUUAAGCGGUUGGUGACUAUUUUUUCUAAAUGCAGUCCUGCAACCGAAAUUUAUUUAGUGUCAUAGAUUUAAAUGAUGAAUAGUGACUUAAGAAUGUUUUUUGGGCUGAUGCGAGAAGUAGAGUAGUGUAUAACUCUUUUUGUUGAUGUCAUUAGUUUCAUACAACAUAUUUGAUGAACAAAUAUGGUAUAACUUUUGCUUGUUUUGUCAUAGUGAAUCAUCAUGACCAAUCAAUGUUGCUAGGAAGUGAUUUAUUAUCAAAUGAAGAUACUGAAGCAUUUGCUUGGUUAUUUAUUGCAUGGCUCACGUGUAUUUCAAAUCGACAACUAAAAGAAAUUGUAGAUGAUCAAGCAAAAGCAAUUAAGAAUGGUGUGGAAAUAGUUUUUCCAGAAUCUCGAUAUAGAUGGUGCUUGUGGCAUAUAAUGAAAAAGAUACUUGAGAAGUUCGAUGUAUAUGCUGAAUAUGUGCACAUCAAGGUUGCUGUUGGCAAGGCAGCUUAUGAUUCGUUAACAAUUACAAAGUUUUAAGUUGCUUGGAUGCAUAUGCUUGAAAUAUGAUCUUGGACUCCUGGUGAUAAUAAAUGACUUAAAGGGCUUUACGACUAUCGGCACCGUUGGGUUCUAGCAUUUGUGAAAGACUUUUGCUCAGAUAUGUCUACUACACAACAUAGUGAGAGUAUGAAUGCUUUAUUUGAUGAGUAUGUUAACACAAAAACUACAUUGAAGCAUUUUGUUAGCCAAUAUGAUAAUGCUCUUUAUGAUAAAGUUGAGAAGGAGAAUAUUGCCGAUUUCAGUUCUUUCAAUUCAACCAUACCUUGUAUCACACACUUUGAGAUGGAGAAGCAAUUUCAACAAAUCUAUUAAAAAUUGAAGUUCAAAGAACUUCAGAAAAAUCUAACAAACAAGAUGUACUGCAAUCAAAAGCUAAUAUUCAAAGAAGGGGAGAUAUAAGCAUAUGAAAUUACCAAGGAUGUGUUGAUUGAUCGAGAAAAAGGAUGGAGAAAAUAUAUUGUGUACCAUGUAUACUUUAGCGAGGAAGAGAUUGAAGUUGCUUUGAAUUCAGAGGUACUCCCUAGGCAUGUGUUAUGUGUGCUCACUCGCAAGAAAACCAAAGAGAUUCCUCCAAAAUACAUUCUUGAUCGAUGGAAAAAAAGUGAAGCAAACACAACUUCAUCAGAUGCACAUCUAUAUGUUGGCAUGAGAGACAUUCCUAUUGCAAAAUAUUUGUUUUGA